Molecule: long non-coding RNA, 3266 nt
Filed under: Homo sapiens (human)
Lineage: Eukaryota; Metazoa; Chordata; Mammalia; Primates; Hominidae
Description: HSALNT0177864
Source: RNAcentral
GUAGUGUGAGGCUUCUAGCUUUGUUCUUUUUGCUCAGUAUUGCUUUGGCUAUUUGGGGUCUUCUGUGGUUCCAUAUGAAUUUCAGGGUUUUUUUUUUUCCUGUUUCUGUGAAGAAUAUAAUUGAUAGGGAUUAUACUGAAUCUCUAGAUUGCUUCGGGUAGUAUGGUCAUUUUAACAGUAUUAGUAAUUCCAACCCACGAGCAUGAGAUGCUUUUCCAUUUUGUUUGUGUCUUCUCAAUUUAUUUUAUCAGUGUCUUGUGGUUUUCAUUGUAGAGGUUUUUUUGUUUGUUUGUUUGUUUGUUUGUUUGUUUGUUUGUUUUCCGCAUCCUUGGUUAAGUUUAUUCCUAGGUAUUUUAUUUUUGUAGCUAUUGUAAAUAGAAUUUCUUCCUUGGUUUCUUUUUUAGUUAGUUUGUUACUGGUAUAUAGAAACAUUACUGAUUUUUGUAUAUUGAUUUUGUGUCCUGAAGCUUUACUGAAUUAUACAUCUGUUUUUUUAAAAAAAUUUUAUUUUUUAUUUUUUGAGAUACAGUCUCGCUCUGUUGCCCAGGCUGGAGUGCAGUGAUGUAAUCUUGGCUCACUGCAACCUCCGCCUCUGGGUUUCAAGCGAUUCUCCUGCUUCAGCCUCCCAAGUAGCUGGGAUUACAGGCACCUACCACCAUGCCUGGUUAAUUGUAUUUUUAAUAGAGACAGGAUAUCACCAUGUUGGCCAGGCUGGUCUCAAACUCCCAACCUCAGGUGAUCCACCCACCUUGGCCUCCCAAAGUGCUGGGAUAACAGGCAUGAGCUACCAUGCCCAGCCUAAUUUAUCCAUUUAAAGAGUUUUUUGGUGGAGUCUUUAGGUUUUUCUGUUUAAAAGUAUAAGAUUAUGUCAUCUGCAAAGUGAGACAAUUUGACUUCCUCUUGUCUAGUUUGGAUGCCUUUUAUUUCUUUAUCUUGUCUGAUCACUCUGGCUUGGAUGUCCCAUACUGUGUUGAAUAAGAGUGGUGAAAGUGGGCAUCCUUGUCUUGUUCCAGUUCUCAGAGGAAUAGCUUUUCAAUUUUUCCCAGUGAGUAGGUUGUUAGCUGUAGAUUAGUCAUAUAUGCCUUUUCUUAUGUUGAAGUGUUCCUUCUAUGCCUAAUUUGUUGAGAGUUUUCAUCAUGAAGGAAUGGUAAGUUUUACCGAGUGAUUUUUCUGCAUCUGCUGAGAUGAUCAGAUAGUUUUUGCCUUUCAUCUUGUUGAUGUGAUGUAUCACAUGCAUUGAUUUUGUGUAUGUUGAGCCAUCUUUGCAUUCCUGGUAUAAAUCCCACUUGAUCAUGGUAUAUUAUCUUUUUCAUUCAUCAUUAGAUUUGGCUUGGUAGUAUUAUGCUGAGAAUUUUUCCAUCUGUGUUCAUUAGGAAUAUUGGCCUGUAGUUUUCUCUUUCUGUUGUGUCCUUGUCUUGAUUGGAUAUCAGGGUAAUGCUGGCCUUAUACAAUGAGUUAGGAAGAAUUCCCUCCUCUUCAAUUUUUGGGAAUAGUUUGAGAAGAAUUGGUGUUUGUUUUUCUUUAUAAACUGGGUAGAAAUCAGCAUAAAACCCUAGUCUAGGGCUUUUCUCUUUGGGGAGACAUUUUGUUACUGAUUCAAACCUGCUAUUCAUUUUGAGUCAGUUCAGGUUUUCUGUUUCUUCCUAGUUCAAUCUUGGUAGGCUGUGUAUGUCUGGGAAUUUAUCCCUUUCCUCUAAGUUUUCCAAUUUGUUAGGAUAUGGUUGUUCAUAGUAGCCUCUAAUCAUCCUUUUUAUUUCUUUGGUAACAGUUGUAAUGUCUCCUUUUUCAUUUCUGCUUGUAUUUAUUUGGGUCUCCUUUCUUUCUUUCUUUUUUUUUUUUUUUUGGUUAGCCUCACUAGUGGUUUAUCAAUUUUGUUUAACUUUUCAAAAAAACAACUUUUGUCUUGUUGAUUCUUUGCAUUUCUUUUUUGUCUCUGUUGCAUUUGGUUCUGCUGUUAUUUUUUUUUUCUUUCUACUAAUUGUGUGUUUGGUUUGUUCUUGCUUUUUGAGUUCCUUGAGGUGCAUCAUUAGAUUGUUUAUUUGAGAUCUUUCUACUUUUUUGGUGUAGGCAUUUAUUGCUAUAAACCUUCCUCCUAGUACUGCUUUUGCUGUAUCCCAUAGGUUUUGCAUGAUGUGUUUCCAUUUUCUGUUUAAAAAUUUUUUUUGAUUUCCAUCUUAAUUUCUUCAUUGACCCAAUGAUCAUUCAAUAGCACAUUUAAUGUCCAUGUAUUUGUACAGUUUCCAAAUUUCUUCUUGUUAUUGAUUUCAAGUUUUAUUCCAUUGUGGUCUGAGAAGAUACUUGAUAUGAUUUUAACGUUUAAAAUUUUGUUGAGCCUUGUUUUGUGUCCUAACAUAUGGUCUAUCCUGGAGAAUGUUCCAUGUGUUGAUGAGAUGAUUGUGUAUUCUGCUGCUGCUGGAUGAAAUAUUCUGAAAAUAUCUGUUAGGUCCAUUUGGUCUAAAGUGCAGCUUAAAUCUAAUGUUUCUUUGUUGAUUUUAUGUCUAGAUGAACUAUCCAAUGCUGAAAGUAGGAUAUUGAAGUUCUCAACUAUCAUUGUAUUGGACUCUAUCUCUCCCUGUAGAUUUAAUAAUAUUUGCUAUGUGUGUCUGGAUGCACUUGUGUUGGUUGCAUGCAUAUUUAGAAUUGUUAUAUUUUGUUGCUGAGUUUAUCCCUUUAUUACCAUAUAAUGACCUUCUUUGUCCUUUUUACAGUUUUUGACUUAAAGUCUGUUUUAUCCGAUGCAAGUUUAGCUACUCCUGAUUACUUUGGAUUUCUGUUUGUGUGGCAUAUCUUUUUCAAUCCCUUCACUUUCAGUCUGUGUGUGUCUUUACAAGUGAAGUGAGUUUCUUGUAGACGUUGUUGAGUCAUUUUUUAUCCAUUAAGCCUGUCUCUAUCUUUUAGGUAGGUAAUUUAACACAUAUUCAAAGUUAUUAUUGAUAGGUGAGAACUUAUUCCUGUCAUUUUGUUCAUUGUUUUCUGGUUAUUUUGUAUAUCCUUUUGAUUUGGUUUGGCUGUGUCCCCACUCAGAUCUCAUCUUGAAUUUCCAUGUGUUGUGGGAGGGACCCAGUGGGAAGUAGUUAAAUCAUGGGGGCAGGUAUUUUCCAUGCUAUUCUUUUGAUAGUGAGUAAGUCUCAUGAGAUCUGAUGGUUUUAAAAGGAGGAGUUUCCCUGCUCAAGCUCUCUCUUUGCCUGCUGCCAUCCCUGUAAGAUGUGACUUGUCUCUCCUUGACUUCUGCAAUGAUUUUGAAGCCUCCCCAGCAAAGUAGAACU